AUACGGAGGGUGCAAGCGUUGUCCGGAUUUAUUGGGUUUAAAGGGUGCGUAGGUGGCGUGUUAAGUCAGUGGUGAAAGCCUGCAGCUCAACUGUAGAGGUGCCAUUGAUACUGACAUGCUUGAGUAUGGACGAGGUAGGCGGAAUUUGUGGUGUAGCGGUGAAAUGCAUAGAUACCACAAAGAACACCGAUAGCGAAGGCAGCUUACUGGACCAUAACUGACACUGAGGCACGAAAGUGUGGGUAGCAAACAGGAUUAGAAACCCUAGUAGUCC
RNAcentral lists this ribosomal RNA (274 nucleotides) under uncultured bacterium. RNAcentral describes it as "partial 16S ribosomal RNA". It matches the Rfam family "Bacterial small subunit ribosomal RNA", at positions 523 to 796 of the family's 1533-position model. The record is from RNAcentral.